Non-coding RNA from Xyrichtys novacula (pearly razorfish), 4283 nucleotides. The record is from the annotation of a GenBank genome assembly. Lineage: Eukaryota; Metazoa; Chordata; Actinopteri; Labriformes; Labridae.
GAGGAAACUCUGGUAUCUGUAUUUACUGCAAAUCAGUCAGCAAAAAGCUAAAAACUGAUUUCAGAUAGAGUCGUCUGGUUUUAACGCUGCAAAACAUCAGCUUAGUCGCUGGAAAAGAUUCUGUUUCAGUUUCAGAUUCUAAUAUUGCACAUUAUUCAGAUUGUGUCUCAUUAUGUGUUUAAUUUUCCUACAUUGUGCGGUCUGUUGUAGCGCCCCAAUAAGCAAUUAUUUUAUUGAUUUUCUUUAUCCAUCUCUUUGGAAUAAUUUAGUCAUCCACCUCAGGAAGCCACAAACAGAAACGUUUUUUAUGCGGUCUGUGACUAAACCCAUAAAAAUGUCUUUGAAUAAGAGACAGAUGGGUAGUGACAGGCCUGAUGUUUCUGUUCACACAAACUGUCACAGCUGGGACAUUUAACUUUGACAUUAAAAAAGAAAGAAGAAAAAAAAAAGUUACGCAAAAAGAUUUCCCACACAGAGAUUGCUAAACUCCUCUUUGUCUCAUGAGGAGGAGGGACUGACAGGGUUUGGAUGUUUUGUGGACGACAGCGAGUCUCAGUUCACUCCCACACGUCCCAUUAAGAAAGAGAAUGACACUAAAACAGACCUGCUCAAUUAUAAAUGAAUGUGAUCAUUCCUCCUCCACCAGGAGCCAGAGGAAGAAGCAACAACUGUGCGGCAAAACCUCUAAGAAAUUAUGUUCAGUUACUUUUUGUUUGUUUUGCUCCUCAUCGAUGAGAAAUUUGAGUGUGCUUAACAAAGGUGGUGUCGGCCCUGGUAGAUGCACGAAAGUGAAAUUUGUGCAAGGUUUUAUGUUUCUGAAAAAAUGACCCCUGGUGACUUUGUACAGGGCAGAUGUUUAUUGUCACUCCGGUUAUACUAAUGCAGUCAAAUGUUUGUUUUUGUGUGUGUGUCUCAUGACAAGAAAGAUGAUCCCUGUCGUUAUUAGAGAAGAGGAUGCAGUGUCCGUGUUUUGAGAAGAACCACAGAAUAGUUUUCCACUGCCCCUCAGUCCAUCCUAAAGUGAUCUGCGCUCAGAGAAGUCACCAACGUGUCCCCAUCAUGUUUAUAUAUUGCCUCCCCUUUGAAUCGUCCAGUUUUAACCUGCAUUUGUUUUGGAUGCAGCAAAGGACUGCAUCAGAGUUAGUUAAAGAAUAAUUCUCCAAACAACAACAACAAAAAAAUUUAUGAAAUUUAAAAAAAAAAAGCAGAUAAUAGCAAAAAUGUCAAAAGAAAUCUGUUCACUUAAGUUAGGGACAGGGUUAGGGUUAGGGAUUAGGGUUGAGGCUAGGGGUAGGGUUGGGGCUAGGGUUAGGGUUGAGGCUAGGGUUAGGUCUAGGGUAAGGGUUAGGGUUGGAGCUAGGGGUAGGGUUAGGUCUAGGGUUAGGGCUAGGAUUAGGGUUGGGGCUAGGGUUAGGGUUGGGGUUAGGGUUGGGCUAGGGUUAGGGUUGAGCCUAGGGUUAGGGCUAGGGUAGGGUUGAGGCUAAGGUUAGGGUUGAGUCUAGGGUUGGGGUAGGGUUAGGGUUCAGGCUAGGGUUACGGUUAAGGCUAGGGUAAGGGUUUGGCAAGGGUUAGGGUUUGGCUAGGGUUAGGGUUGAGGCUGGGGUUAGGGUUAAGUCUAGGGUUGGGGCUCGGGUUACGGUCAGGGUUGGAGCUACAGGUUAGGGUUGGGCUAGGGUUCGGGUUAUGAGUUAGGAUUAGAGUUUGGGUUAGAGUUAGGACUCAGAUUAGACCUUUACACACUUCCAGUUGUCCCAUGCUAGGGUUAGCAUUAGGGUUGGGUUAGGGGUUAGGUAUAGGUAAGAGUUAGGGUUAGGGUUAGGGUUAGGGUUAGGGUUAGGGUCAGAGCUUUACACACUUCCACUUUGGCCAAAGCAGAUCAGUAUGUUAUUUGUUUGCUAGCAACACUUUUUAACAACUGUCUGACUUCUAUCCUCUCCCCAUAAGACAUUCAGCCUCUUACAUGGCAGCUGACUCCUACCAGAUGACAGGGAUUGGUGACUGCACCAGAGUUAAAAAAGCAUAUCUGAAUAAAUUAAUAUAAAGUUCAUUCUCAGAUUACUGUUUAAUAACAUUUGUUAUUUUAAACCUGGUAACUUCCAUAUCACCCACAUCCAUAUAAGCCAAUGGCAGGUUUCAGUUCUGUACAGCAGUUCCUGGUCCUGGAAGUGGAUCUCAAGCUAGCAGAGGAGAAAAGCUAAAAUAUGCUUCAUUUUAAAGGUUUUACAAUAAAUAAAAUGUUUCAUAUCAAGGAAAAAAUCUCAGAGUAUUUCUUUUACUCCAAGAUUUGGUUUUGUGGAAGUAUGGAGAUGCUGUUAAAUGCUUUUAUACAGAGUAGUAAGAUGCUAUGCUAACUAUGCUUACAAAGCCUCUCAACCAGCUCAAUGUUUAAAAUUGUAUUACCAAAUACAUACAAACAUGUGUUUUGGUCCCUUCAAUGUUUGAGUUUAGGUUGUCGUGUGGCGGUAAAGGUCAAAGAAAAUGUUUGAUGACAAAAACUGAGACAGCAAUCAUCACAUCAGACAUAAGAUGACAGCUCAGGGCCCCUUCCAGGUCUUUGUCUUUGCUGCAAUAACCUUUACAUCCCAUGGCAGUAAGCUAUAAUGAUAGGAUCCAUACAUGGGAAACAUAUAUGCUGCAUACCGUUACUCAAAGCUGACAUUUAAAGUCAUGUCAAAACAUGCUUCCCACAUUGUCUAUAUGCAAAGCAAGCAUCUGACCAGCAGAGUGAACCACUCAAACUUUUUGUCUUGAGAUCCUGUUGUAUCCAUGUUUUGUUUUUGCAUAUACAGACUUUACAUCUAACAAGGGUUUUCAACCAGAUCAGUGUUCUGAAUGAUGAGCUGAACCAAACUAACCUUCCUCCUGUGUUAGCUUUUACUACGGACCCACCAUGUUCAGGGUCGGUUUUGACCCGUGUCUUAAAUCAGCUGUAAAUUACACUGAAAAAAAUUCUCUAUCAUCCGAUUUGUUGCCUGACAGUGCACUUUCAGUUUAGAUUUUAGUUUUAGAUUUUAGUUUUUGCUCUAAUUAUUAUAUAUUGAUCUAACCGGGUCAACAGCAACCCUAACACGGCAAGUGCCAUAAUUUUAAUAAGAGCAUUUUAUAGUUUAGUCAAUUUUAUUUUUUUAUUUUUAUUUUGUUGAAAUAGAGGUUCCUAACAAAGUCAGAAAGUCUUGAUGCAAAAAAGCUCAUUUAAGUGGUUCUUUUAAGCAUUUAAAAUCAAAAACGGGUCAGUGCAGAUCCUAACACAGGAGGAGGGCUGAGUGAAAAAUUGUGUUGCAAUGGCUCUGACACUUCCCACAAGGAGGAUGCAGAUUUGAAAAGAAUGUGCUCAAGUCCAAAUCAAAUCAAAUGCUGCAGUUGUGAGGUGCUGCGAUCAUAGCAGGGGGAAUGUUACUAACAGGUGCUUUCUGAACAUGCCUUUAUUUCUAAUUUUUUUGUAAUGUGUUACAGACAACAAACUUAAAAUGAGUGAUUUUGCAAAAAAAAAAAAAAGACACAUAGCGCACCCUAUGGCUAAAAUACCAACAAAAUAGUAGUAAUCCAUGAAAUAUCAGCAGGAGUUGGGCAUAAAAAAAUGUAAGUUCAUUUGUGAAUGAUAACUGUGACAGCUAGAGUCAAACAGGCUGAUUAUGAGCAUCAAUAGCCAUCAGUAAGAUAUAAAUCACUGCAUUGUGUUUUAACAAUGAUAAUAGAAAAAGAAAGAUAACAGUGGUGUAAACAUGUUGGUGCUGUCCACUUGACAGUGUUACAAAUCGCCCUUAAAUCAGCUAAUUGUGAGAGCGGUAAUUUGUCUGAAUCAUGGGCUCGGCCUCAGUAUUGUCAUCUACUGAUUGGUCAACAGUCGUUUUGAAGCCCAGUGAAGUCCCCAUGAUGGAAAUGCAACUCAAACUGACUUUUGGGGAACUUGUUCACUACCCCUCUGGAUCCUUUGUGGUCAGUCACAGAAAAUGGCUGCAGGUAUUUGGCUGUAUAUUCAGCAAUAUACACUGUGACCUACUGAGUUUUUACGCUGUUACAGGAAGUGAGGCUUUAAACACGUCCUUAUAUUUUUUUUUGGUCUGGCUGAUUUUGUUUCCCUUAAAUCUUCUCAAAUCUUUACCUUGUCUCCGUUCUUAUUUCUUGACCAAAAUUUCAAAACUAUCUCUUUGUUCCAGCGCUCACCAUUUUCACUGCAGGCAAAGCACAAAGGAUGAUGAGCAUGCAUGGGAUGAUGGUCUCUGUAGUCCCCACUUCCCUCUGAAGCUAUAAGAAACUACAUUUUUUUCUUUCCGUAAAGCCCA